GGGCCCAAUUUUUUAAUUAAAACGUUUGACUUUCCCAAAUUCUGUUCAACUCUUCCAAGCUCGCCCCACCUCAAAUCCUCUUGACUCCAUUCCUAAACCCACCAAAACCCCUUUCCUCCUUAUUGUACCCUCCAAAAUCUUGGGAAUCCAUGCAUUGGGACCCCAAACUCAAACCAUGGUUGCAAAGAAGUGAGGCACUAUUGAGGAGCAUGAGGCACGGUCCAAGAGGAAGUGAUAGCUUGAAGAUCUUCACCCCACACCUUCUGCAUUGAUUUUUCCACCAAAUCAGGUUUCUAUAGCUUCACGAGCAAUCACUUUGGGCAGAAAGUUUAGUUUUGAUUUUUUGGAUGGGGAAAACUUUCGGAUUGGGUCUUGGAUUCAUCAACAAGGGUGAG
Molecule: long non-coding RNA, 395 nt
Filed under: Elaeis guineensis (African oil palm)
Lineage: Eukaryota; Viridiplantae; Streptophyta; Magnoliopsida; Arecales; Arecaceae
Description: long non-coding RNA (EGUI_LNC063877)
Source: RNAcentral